GUUUAAACAACAACCUCACAUUUAAUCACAUUCAAAUGGAUUCAAAUGGAGAGUAGUUUUCUAGAAAUGUUGAUACGCAUAAUGAUGAUUUACCAUUUAUGAGUUAUAAUAGUUUUAAGUUUUGAUUGGAGGAGUAGGGAAGGGCAAUAAAUUCUAUGUAUAUUUUUAAAUAACACAUCGAUAACUUAAAAAAAUUAAAUUCGCUU
Cinara cedri is the source of this 206-nucleotide non-coding RNA. The record is from the annotation of a GenBank genome assembly. NCBI's taxonomy places the organism in Eukaryota, Metazoa, Arthropoda, Insecta, Hemiptera, Aphididae.